AGCGAACGCUGGCGGCAGGCCUAACACAUGCAAGUCGAACGAACCUUUCGGGGUUAGUGGCGGACGGGUGAGUAACACGUGGGAACGUGCCUUUAGGUUCGGAAUAACUCAGGGAAACUUGUGCUAAUACCGAAUGUGCCCUUCGGGGGAAAGAUUAAUCGCCUUUAGAGCGGCCCGCGUCUGAUUAGCUAGUUGGUUGAGGUAAUGGCUCACCAAGGCGACGAUCAGUAGCUGGUCUGAGAGGAUGAUCAGCCACAUUGGGACUGAGACACGGCCCAAACUCCUACGGGAGGCAGCAGUGGGGAAUCUUGCGCAAUGGGCGAAAGCCUGACGCAGCCAUGCCGCGUGAAUGAUGAAGGUCUUAGGAUUGUAAAAUUCUUUCACCGGGGACGAUAAUGACGGUACCCGGAGAUGAAGCCCCGGCUAACUUCGUG
RNAcentral lists this ribosomal RNA (434 nucleotides) under uncultured bacterium. Its description in RNAcentral is "partial 16S ribosomal RNA". It matches the Rfam family "Bacterial small subunit ribosomal RNA", at positions 29 to 507 of the family's 1533-position model. The record is from RNAcentral.